AUUAUUUUAUUAACUAAAUGAAUAGUUUAAAAACUAUAUGUGUUGAUAUAUUUAAUAUACUGUAUAUUAAAUAUAUCAACACUUA
Long non-coding RNA from Sinocyclocheilus anshuiensis, 85 nucleotides. RefSeq lists it as uncharacterized. The transcript has 3 exons. Lineage: Eukaryota; Metazoa; Chordata; Actinopteri; Cypriniformes; Cyprinidae. The record is from RefSeq and is a predicted model, not a curated record.